GACGAACGCUGGCGGCGUGCUUAACACAUGCCAGUCGAACGGAAAGGCCCUGCUUUUGUGGGGUGCUCGAGUGGCGAACGGGUGAGUAACACGUGAGUAACCUGCCCUUGACUUUGGGAUAACUUCAGGAAACUGGGGCUAAUACCGGAUAGGAGCUCCUGCUGCAUGGUGGGGGUUGGAAAGUUUCGGCGGUUGGGGAUGGACUCGCGGCUUAUCAGCUUGUUGGUGGGGUAGUGGCUUACCAAGGCUUUGACGGGUAGCCGGCCUGAGAGGGUGACCGGCCACAUUGGGACUGAGAUACGGCCCAGACUCCUACGGGAGGCUGCAGUGGGGAAUAUUGCACAAUGGGCGGAAGCCUGAUGCAGCAACGCCGCGUGCGGGAUGACGGCCUUCGGGUUGUAAACCGCUUUCGCCUGUGACGAAGCGUGAGUGACGGUAAUGGGUAAAGAAGCACCGGCUAACUACGUG
RNAcentral lists this ribosomal RNA (468 nucleotides) under uncultured bacterium. RNAcentral's name for it is "partial 16S ribosomal RNA". It matches the Rfam family "Bacterial small subunit ribosomal RNA", at positions 28 to 507 of the family's 1533-position model. The record is from RNAcentral.